Haliotis rubra (blacklip abalone) is the source of this 114-nucleotide long non-coding RNA. RefSeq lists it as uncharacterized. Lineage: Eukaryota; Metazoa; Mollusca; Gastropoda; Lepetellida; Haliotidae. The transcript has 3 exons. The record is from RefSeq and is a predicted model, not a curated record.
AGAAGAUAUCAGCAGACCUUAGACAAGACAAGACAAUCGUUUAUUGUAUAUUAGGCCACCGGCCCUUAUACAAGCGAGUUACAUACAUUAAGACAUGGUUAAUUGUAAGUGUUC